CGCACGGGUGAGUAACACGUAUCCAACCUGCCGUCUACUCUUGGACAGCCUUCUGAAAGGAAGAUUAAUACAAGAUGGCAUCAUGAGUCCGCAUGUUCACAUGAUUAAAGGUAUUCCGGUAGACGAUGGGGAUGCGUUCCAUUAGAUAGUAGGCGGGGUAACGGGCCCACCUAGUCUUCGAUGGAUAGGGGUUCUGAGAGGAAGGUCCCCCACAUUGGAACUGAGACACGGUCCAAACUCCUACGGGAGGCAGCAUG
Molecule: ribosomal RNA, 257 nt
Filed under: uncultured bacterium
Lineage: Bacteria
Description: partial 16S ribosomal RNA
Rfam family: Bacterial small subunit ribosomal RNA
Source: RNAcentral